UUCUCCCUUCUGAUGAACCAUGAUGUCAUUAAUUUGGUGUUGUGGGGAGUCAGGACUGUUACUUUGAAAAAAUUAGAGUGUUUAAAGCAGGCAAACGCUCGAAUACAUUAGCAUGGAAUAAUGAAAUAGGACGUUCGAACCUAUUUUGUUGGUUUCUAGGUACAACGUAAUGAUUAAUAGGGAUAGUUGGGGGCAUUAGUAUUCAAUUGUCAGAGGUGAAAUUCUUGGAUUUAUUGAAGACUAACUACUGCGAAAGCAUUUGCCAAGGAUGUUUUCAUUAAUCAAGAACGAAAGUUAGGGGAUCGAAGACGAUCAGAUACCGUCGUAGUCUUAACCAUAAACUAUGCCGACUAGGGAUCGGAUGAAGUUAAUUUUUUAAUGACUCAUUCGGCGCCUUACG
Molecule: ribosomal RNA, 400 nt
Filed under: uncultured Glomeromycotina
Lineage: Eukaryota; Fungi; Glomeromycota
Description: SSU rRNA
Rfam family: Eukaryotic small subunit ribosomal RNA
Source: RNAcentral